RNAcentral lists this unclassified non-coding RNA (181 nucleotides) under uncultured Cortinarius. Its description in RNAcentral is "sequence contains ITS2". The record is from RNAcentral. Lineage: Eukaryota; Fungi; Basidiomycota; Agaricomycetes; Agaricales; Cortinariaceae.
AUAUAUCAAUCUUCUCUUCUUGAGUGGUUUGGAUGUGGGGGUUUGCUGGCCUCUUAAAGAGGUUUCAGCUCCUCUGAAAUGCAUUAGCAGAACGACCUGUUCAUUGGCGUGAUAACUAUCUACGCUAUUGAAUGUAAGGGGCAGUUCAGCUUUCUAACAGUCUUUGGACAAUUUAUCAUUA